This is a non-coding RNA of Cricetulus griseus (Chinese hamster), 1218 nucleotides long. Lineage: Eukaryota; Metazoa; Chordata; Mammalia; Rodentia; Cricetidae. The record is from RefSeq and is a predicted model, not a curated record.
AGCUACACAGAGAAACCCUGUCUUGAAAAACCAAAAAAAAAAAAAAAAUCUAUAUAUUUAGACAGCUAUUCUCAGUAGUGAUCCUUAUCACCUUUUUUGAUACAGGGUCUCACUAUGUAGCUCUGGCUAGCCUAGAACUCACUGUAGAGUAGGCUGGCCUUGAACCUGCUGAGAUUUGCCAGCCUUUGCCUCCCAUGUGCCAGGAUUAAAAGCAUGCAUAACUAUGCUCAGCAUGAUUUUCUUCCUGAUAAGUAAAAUAACAUCCAGAGAUAAUACUUCAGACUGUCACUGCAGCAUCUGCCUGUAGUCGGAAAUAACAUGCUUACUAUAGUUUUAACCAAAAGUGGCCGAUAAGAUGGUUGAAUGGUUAAGAGCAUUUGUUGCUCUUGGAAAAGACACAGUUCAAUUCUGAGGACAUAGUGGUUCACAGCCAUCUGUAACUCCAGUUCCAGGGGGUCUGAUGUCCCCUUCUAAUCUCCUUGGGUACCAUACAUGCACAUACAUAUAUGCAGGCAAAACAUACACAAAAGUAAAUGGAAUAGGUAUUGUUUUAACAUAAAAUUAAAUGAUGGCUAUUAUCUCUCCUCCUAUCUAUAAGUUAUAUGGGAGGUACCUCAAAUGAAUCCUAGCCACUCCAACUACUUUUAAAGGACCUAUUGGAGACUAGUUUGGAGGCCAAAGGAUAAGAAGGCCCACAGUGGAUGGAUGCACUCUGAGCACAUCCAGAACUUCUAAUGGACUUGAAUUUGAACAUUUAAAGAAUACUGUUAUUCUAGCCUUGUACUUGGAAUGCUCCUAACUUUUCCCUUCCUUCUUUCUUCACAUCUCCUAGAAAGCAGUUGAGGACUUUUCUUUUCUCCACCUGUUUGUUACUCAAAUGAUUCUAGGAUUACCUCUUGGAGAGUGGGGAGAAUAGGGACCUUGAUGAAACCAGAAGGUCCCUCCUCCCUUCUGUGCCCCAAAGAAACACACAGACGCUAUAUUAGUAUAAGUAUGUUGGCUGGCGACUUGGGCUUCUUAGUCCAGCUACAUCACUUCCUGGGAUUACAUGAUGAUUCCUCUCUGUCUACACUUCCCUGAAUCCUCCUUGUCUCCUAGUCCUACCGGUCUUCCUACCUGGCCAAUCAGUGUUUUAUUCAUCAACCAAUAAGACAAAAAUAUUCACAGAAGAACAUUUCCCCAUCAGUCCAUCCCCAAUAAAACACCACUUAUCAUUUA